Molecule: ribosomal RNA, 274 nt
Filed under: uncultured bacterium
Lineage: Bacteria
Description: partial 16S ribosomal RNA
Rfam family: Bacterial small subunit ribosomal RNA
Source: RNAcentral
AUACGGGGGGAGCAAGCGUUGUCCGGAAUCAUUGGGCGUAAAGGGCACGUAGGCGGUUUCUUAAGUCGAAUGUGAAAUCUCACGGCUCAACCGUGAAACUGCGUUCGAAACUAAGUGACUUGAGUUUGGGAGAGGUGUACGGAAUUCCUGGUGUAGCGGUGGAAUGCGUAGAUAUCAGGAAGAACACCAAUGGCGAAGGCAGUACACUGGCCUGAAACUGACGCUGAGGUGCGAAAGCGUGGGGAGCAAACAGGAUUAGAAACCCGGGUAGUCC